RNAcentral lists this long non-coding RNA (285 nucleotides) under Capsella rubella. RNAcentral's name for it is "long non-coding RNA (CRUB_LNC001454)". The record is from RNAcentral. Lineage: Eukaryota; Viridiplantae; Streptophyta; Magnoliopsida; Brassicales; Brassicaceae.
UCUAACAUUUUAUUUUAUUAUAUUUUUCUGUUAUAUUCAUUUGACUAUUUCAUAUUUUAUAUGAAAAAAGAAAAAAAAAAGCAACAUACUAAAAACAGCUCUAUCAUCAUCUCAUGGGGUGAUUUUGAUACAAAUAAUAAUAAAAUAAAUAAAAAAAAUUCCACCAAACCCAAUCUUUACAAAAACAAUGAAACAGCUGUUCUGUUGUGAUUGAUUCGACCGCGCCUUCAUAAGAAGAAAUAAAUAAAGAAAAAAAACCUUAUGCGAAUCAAAAGCUAAAAAUCC